This 246-nucleotide ribosomal RNA is filed under the name uncultured bacterium. Its description in RNAcentral is "partial 16S ribosomal RNA". It matches the Rfam family "Bacterial small subunit ribosomal RNA", at positions 524 to 769 of the family's 1533-position model. The record is from RNAcentral.
UACGUAGGGGGCAAGCGUUAUCCGGAUUUACUGGGUGUAAAGGGAGCGCAGGCGGUAUGGCAAGUCAGAUGUGAAAACCCAGGGCUCAACCCUGGGACUGCAUUUGAAACUGCCAUACUGGAGUGCCGGAGAGGUAAGUGGAAUUCCUAGUGUAGCGGUGAAAUGCGUAGAUAUUAGGAGGAACACCAGUGGCGAAGGCGGCUUACUGGACGGUAACUGACGCUGAGGCUCGAAAGCGUGGGGAGC